GCGAGUAAGACCCUGCCCUAGUGGCUCGGUCAGUCCCAUCAUAUACACCUUUAUUCGUGAACUCGUGGUUCAGCUGGACGAUGAAAGCUUUGGCGACUAGCCGUCCGUCGGCUCCGCUCUUUAUACCCUUUAUGUGAAGUCAAUGGAAAUUAUGAUAAUCUAAUA
This 165-nucleotide unclassified non-coding RNA is filed under the name soil metagenome. Its description in RNAcentral is "partial internal transcribed spacer 1". The record is from RNAcentral.